UACGGAGGAUCCGAGCGUUAUCCGGAUUUAUUGGGUUUAAAGGGUGCGUAGGUGGUUUGAUAAGUCAGCGGUGAAAGUUUGCAGCUUAACUGUAAAAAUGCCGUUGAAACUGUCGGACUAGAGUGCAGGAGAGGUAAGUGGAAUUCCUAGUGUAGCGGUGAAAUGCAUAGAUAUCACGCAGAACUCCGAUUGCGAAGGCAGCUUACUAAGCUACAACUGACACUGAAGCACGAAAGCGUGGGGAUCAAAC
RNAcentral lists this ribosomal RNA (250 nucleotides) under uncultured bacterium. Its description in RNAcentral is "partial 16S ribosomal RNA". It matches the Rfam family "Bacterial small subunit ribosomal RNA", at positions 524 to 773 of the family's 1533-position model. The record is from RNAcentral.